GACGUGCAUGUGCUUGUAAUAUGACCUAAUUAGAAUCCAUGAUCAUCACCUAUUUAAAGUUUAGCUUUAAUUAUUGCUACGAUUAUAACUGCCUGCGAUGUAUCGUUUGCAUGUGAUGCGAAUGUGAGUGGGGUAGAUAGGUUUACAUGUGAUGCAAACUAAUAGACCAAUCCAAAUGAGAUCUAAACUAAAACUUCCUCAAUCAAGUCGAGAGUGAACCAACAUGAGCGAGUCAUAUUAGAUUAAUUGCUCUAAUU
This 257-nucleotide long non-coding RNA is filed under the name Phoenix dactylifera (date palm). RNAcentral describes it as "long non-coding RNA (PDAC_LNC015486)". The record is from RNAcentral. Lineage: Eukaryota; Viridiplantae; Streptophyta; Magnoliopsida; Arecales; Arecaceae.